GUAGAUGUCCAGGAGAUGCAUCCUAGCUGCUCUAGCCACACUUGAAAAUAAUUCCAAACAACAGAUUCUUCAUCCAUGUUCCGAACCUUUGUGCAUUAGAUUUUUAAUGAGACUAUUGUCCGUUGUUUCUCAGCUAUCAGAACAAGAGUGUGAGAUUUAACCAUAAACGUUGUAUAUAUGUAUUCAACAUCAAGACACCAACAUGAUUAGUCCACAUUAUGAAACAGAAGAUAAAUUUAUCCCAAAGGAAAACAAAAGUUCAAGAUGAUCAUUUAUUGAUCAAAGUCACUGAGGCAACACUGCCAAAACAACACAACGAAGGACAGAUAGCAUUUCUCAGUACUAACCAUAUGCAUCAGGCUUCCACUAAACUUUCUACAUUGAGCUUGAAAUCGCCCUCCGGAAUAGUAUGUGCUUGUCACCUUGGAACGGGGAUAGUAGUUCUUUCAGCUUCCCUUAUAUUAUCGCAACAACCAAUAAUGUUAGUACUCAAAUUAAACUUCUUUUUUCUUAAUGGGUAUCCAGCAUCAAUGCCUGAAAAGGAUUUUUAAUAACACUUACAGUUGCACAUGAGUCCAAAUGUUGUGUAGAAGCACCUAUUUGAACAUCUUGAUCAUUAGAUACAGCAGCCUUCAACUCCAAAUGCUUAUUCAUGGCUGAUUCUUGGUGAACUUGAAUUCCACCAUUCUACAUCAC
Molecule: long non-coding RNA, 696 nt
Filed under: Solanum tuberosum (potato)
Lineage: Eukaryota; Viridiplantae; Streptophyta; Magnoliopsida; Solanales; Solanaceae
Description: long non-coding RNA (STUB_LNC006054)
Source: RNAcentral